Molecule: small RNA, 119 nt
Filed under: Aurantimonas manganoxydans SI85-9A1
Lineage: Bacteria; Pseudomonadati; Pseudomonadota; Alphaproteobacteria; Hyphomicrobiales; Aurantimonadaceae
Description: Alphaproteobacterial ar14
Rfam family: Alphaproteobacterial ar14
About the family: Smr14C2 was renamed NfeR1 (Nodule Formation Efficiency RNA) highly expressed in salt stress and during the symbiotic interaction on legume roots.
Source: Rfam by way of RNAcentral
GAGUUUCGCGUAGGGCCCACCUCCUCCCGGGCCUGAAGCGGAUAUGACCUGCGCAUCCUCCUCCCAGCGCAGGUCCCAAUGCGACACCCGUCGGGUCCUCCCCCCGGCGGGUGUUGUCG